UGCAAUAUGCAGAAACCAAAAGGCUGGCCUAACUUGUACUUAUAAAAAAGAUUGCCUUCCAAUUCCUCUACCUCUCAUCUUCUCAAUAAAAAGUUGCACCUAGGUUUCAAACUUUUAGUGCACUUAUCGACUUUAUUUCUAUACAAAUUGAUCAUUUCCAUGGCUUCUUUCCAACUUGAUGACCAGGUUCUGGUACAAGAGACUUUAUUCGUGAGGACAUUGAUCCUGAAUAGGCCUCGACACUGUCCCAAUUGUUUGAUCAUUUUGGAGAGUUUGUUUGUUUAUUUAUUUUUAAUUCAGUAAAGUUGUGUUCUAUAGAAACAGAUUGUUGAGUACACUGGGAGAAGGGAUUGUGUGGCUUUUAAUUUGUAUGUUUUUUCUGAAGUUGAGUUUCUACGUGCAAGAUUGUUAAGGUUGAGUAUUAAUUUGAAACGACCCCUAAAAAUGGAGUAUUAGAGAGAACUUUAUAGUUUGGGAUUUUUUCCUAAUGUGGGUGCUUCCUAUUUCUUGUCAAGACUUCCUGAAUUUUUUGGAGAGUAUUUGGGUCUCACAGGUGCCAGGUUGGAUGGUGCUAAAAUGCUUGCUUGUGGUUUAGCUACUCACUUUGUUCCCUCAGCCAAAUUGCCUCUACUGGAAAAAGCUCUGAUUUCCAGAGCAACUUCAGCUACUUCCUGAAGCUGUGAUCUUGCUUUUAUUUCAGCAAUUAUAGACGAACACUCCCUACAUCAACCGGCUCUGAACUAGAAAAGUGCUCUUCACAAAAUGGAUGUCAUUGACAAGUGCUUUUCAUUAAAAAUGGAAAGAUAGGAGUAGGUUGUUCAUAAAAAAUAAUAAUAAUAAAAUAAAUAUAAAUAAAAAGAAGUUCGCAGUGGGCUAAAAGACGGAAAUACUUUUCAUUUUAGAGAGAACUUUACAGAGAUGUCCUACGUAAGAAUGUCCAGGAGAAUUCAUCAAUUCAUUAGUUUGUCUUAUCUUCUUUUUCUUAAGGGUAUUGUUAAAUGAGCGAUGACAUAAUUAUCAUUAAUUGGCCUGAGUGGGCCAAUUAAAUUUUUGAAUAAUAAAAUAACAAUUCACAUAGGCUAUAGUCCAUGUUAGUCCCUUGUUGGGACCAUCCCUGCCUAUAUGUGGAGGAGGAUUAGUCCAAUCCUAAGUUCGGCUCUUCAUUAGUGGUCCAUUGCUUUUGUACGAAAAACACAAACAAAUGAACGUUUGACAUAUGUGUAAAACAUCUCAAUCUUAAGUUUAUAUCUUCAUUAGUCUCCCGUGGUCCAUUGUAAACCUUUUCCGUUCGUAUAAAAAAAAAGUAAACAAAUUUCAAUUUGAUGUGUAUGUAGAACAUCUCAAUCUCAAGUUCAGCUCUUCAUUGGUCUCCCUGGUUCAUUCUAAGCCUUUUCUUUUUGUAAGAACGAAGAAAACAAAUAGUUCUUUCCUCCGAUGACCAAACCCCGUUUAAAUUGUGCUUUAACCACGUUCUGCUAUUUCUUUCUUUUCUUCAAUUUACGGACAGAACACAAAGAAAGGCAAGUGUGUGAACAUUUUUUUUCUGCCAAAUCAAUUUAUGCAUUGAUGCUGGCUGGCCCAGCCUAGUAGUUGUUCCUCCCCCGACUCACACCCCAUGUGACAUGGGCUCAUACAAAGCAAAGUUGAUUACAACUUGUUAUAUUAACAACCAGGUUUUUGUUUCCAUUUUCAAUCAUUCAAUAUCUGUACUGUCAAUUAAUUUUGGUCAUCGAAUUCUCAAAUUCCAUCAUCAUAUUUGCACUAUUUUAGUUGUCAAUAUUUUUUAAAAAUAAUAAGACAAAAUAAACGGUACAAAUAGUUUUAUGUUAUUUAUGUUGUAAGUUGAAAUAGUAUGAAUAGUUUUAUUUGUUUUGGAGGAAUCCGAAAAUAUAUUGUGUCGGUUUUUUUUUGGUUCGAAAAAGUUAAAAAAUAAAAGACAUAGACAUGCAAUAUGCGGAAACCAAAUGGCUGGCCUACCUCAUACUUAUAAAUAAGAUUGCCUUCCAAUUCCUCCACCUCUCAUCUUCUCAAUAAAAAGUUGCACCUAGGUUUCGAACUUUUAGUGCACUUAUCGAUUUAAUUUCUAUACAAAUUGAUCAUUUCCAUGACUUCUGUCCAAGUUGAUGACCAGGUUCUGGUACAAGAGACUUUGUUCGUGAGGACAUUGACUCUGAAUAGGCCUCGCCAGCUGAACACCCUUUCCCUUGAAAUGAUCUCUCGUCUGUCAGAACUUUUCCAGGCCUAUGUGGACGACAACAAUGCCAAGUUGAUCAUUCUCAAGGGUAGAGGAAGAGCAUUUUGUGCUGGCGGCGAUCUAGUCGCCAUGCAUCGUCACUUUCUUGAAGGAAAUCUGAAAUAUGGUGAAAAUUUUGCUCAGAAGAUCCUCAACUUAACCUAUUUGAUAGCAACACACAGUAAACCCCAGGCAAGUAUGCAAUUAAUUUCCAUAAUGUCUUCAAAAUCUAGGUUUAAUAUGUUUUGGAUGCUAAGUGCUAAUACUUGUAUCAUCUCAACUGGUCAAUUAGUAUACCACAUGACAUAUAUCACAUCUUCCCCGAGAUGGUACAAAUAGUUCUAUCGUACUUUCUUUUGCAGACUUGAAGUUUUCCUAGAAUUCUUUCAAUACCAUCUUUUGUUAUUUAUACAUAUAUUUUGUAAAAUAGGUUUCAAUUAUGAAUGGGAUUGCAAUGGGAGCUGGGGUUUGUAUUUCAGUACACGGAAAAUUCCGUGUAGCAACAGAGAAUUCCAUCUUUGCAAUGCCAGAAAAUGCUCUGGGAUUGUUUCCUGAUGUCGGUCAUUUCUUGUCAAGACUUCCUGGAUUUUUUGGAGAGUAUUUGGGUCUUACAGGUACAAUGUUGGAUGGUGCUGAAAUGCUGGCUUGUGGUCUGGCAACUCACUUUGUUCCCUCAGCCAAAUUGUCUCUGUUGGAAAAAGCACUAAUUUCCAGAGCAGCUUCAGCUACAUCAAGCUGUGAUCUUGCUUUUAUUUCAGCAAUUAUAGACGAAUACUCCUUGCAGCAACCGGUUCUGAACGAGAAAAGUGCUUUACGCAAAAUGGAUGUCAUUGACAAGUGCUUUUCCAGACCAACAGUUGAAGAUAUCUUAAGUGCCCUUGAGAAGGAGGUUACUACAACAGAUGCAAAUAGGGCAGGUGAUGAAUGGCUAGCUUCAACGAUUCGAUCGCUGAAGAAGGCGUCGCCGAUGAGCUUGAAGAUUUGUUUGAGAUCCAUUAGAGAAGGAAGGGUGCAGGCAAUGGAUGAAUGUCUUGUCCGCGAGUACAGAAUAGCUUGCCAUGUUAUGAGAGGGCAAAUAAGCAAGGACUUCAGAGAAGGUUGCAGAGCUAUCUUGUGGGACAAGGACAAGAAACCAAAGUGGAAGCCUUCGAGUUUGGAUCUCAUCACUGAGCAUAUGGUUGACCACUGCUUCUCAAGGUUGGAUGGUGAUGAAGAAUUAAAGCUCCCUCAAAGAUGCAACUUGAAAGUAUUUGCCAAUGCCAAGCUUUGAGCUAAUUGUGAUUUUGGGGUGUUUCUCUAAACCUAUACCUAUCAAUAUUUCAAUUCCCUCCCUCAUACUAUUCAGAAUUUUCAUUAGUGUACACACCCCACCAUUUUCUCACCCCACCCCACCCCACACCAUACCACCCCAACUCUCUCAUUGGAAUAUGUAUGUACAACCAACUAUACAUAUAUAAUCUGUUAUAUACAUAUCUUGUGUUUUUUUUUGUUGUCAAAAUACAUAUCUUGUUUGUUAGUUCGGCUUAUAUAUAGGUACAUAUACAAUUGUAUAUGUUUAUUUCAUUCCGUUACAUAACAUGGCUAUGUUAGGGGUCUAUGUUGAAGAGUGUGUUGAGAGGUUCAAUUUUGUCGUUCAAUAAUAACUCUAUAUAAUUAAGGAUCCCCUCGUUAUAACCCUUCACUUUGUUGCAAUAUUGCUUAAAAAAUUUAAGCCUCUUCACAUAUUGCCAAUUGGUUGUUGCUUGGGGAAUCUGCCCAAUAUUUUUUUAAAAAAAUUUUAGGUGUCCAAAGACAUAUAUUCGAAGACUCGAGAAGAAACACAUAUUGGAGCUUGUAUUGUUUCGGCCCAACGAAAUAUGGGCUCUGAAAAUGAAAAGCUAGGUAGGGUUGAACUUCAGAAGAAAACUGAUUGGUCCAAAAUUUUAGGCUUUGGGUUUGGGUGACCGAAGCAGAUUUUGGCCGCACCAGUUUCUCAAGUAAACGAUUAAAAUAAAAACAAAACAAAACGAUGUUUCUUCCCAACCGCCGGAGCUUAGAGACAAGCUCACAAUGUCUACUUUUGAGCCUUCUGAUAGUGUCAAUGUGUCAUGGCAAUGCUCAUCGAUUGUGAAGAAGAACAAGAAGAACAACAGCAAACCAAUGGUCGAACUCCAAUGCCUAAGUGAAGGAAGUUGAGGUUCCACUCCGAAACCAAUUGGUAAUAGAGGGAGUAAUCCGACUUCUUAUAAGCUGUUGCUAGGUUUCUUAACUUUCAAAUAUGAGACUUUUUAUCUUCACCUUCUCACACGCCCCCGCAUGUGUGGCGAAUUUUCAAGCCUAACACGUGGACAACACAUUUUGGGUGAUGUGGAGCACGUGUUGUAAUGACCCAAACCUAAAAUUCAUAUUUAAUUAGUAAUUUAUUAUGCGAAAAGACAAUUUUGCCCUUUGACUAAAUUAUGAACUCAAAGUUGACUUUUUGACCGAAAAGGAAUUUGACAAUUCCACAUACGCCGUUGCGUAGAGCACGAUGACACGAAGUGGACUCGAAUCGGAAUUUUAACGAAGAAAAUACGAUUAAAAUAUCACGAGGGGCAAAAUAGUAAAUUGGAUUGUGCCGACAUUUGUCAGGUGUCGGAUACGCACAGGGUCUGACUCGGAUUCCAAAGCGGAAUUUGGAUCGGGUUCUGUCACGUGUGGCCGUUGAGCUUUCACACGUGGGCAACCUCUUUGAUAACAUGAAGGAAGUUGAGAUUCUACCCCAAAACCAAUUGGCUAUUGGGGGAGUAACUCAACUCCUUAUAAGCCCUUACUAGGUUUCUCAACUUUCCAGCGUGGGACUUUUUACCUUCACAUUCUCACACUAAGCGCCUAGAAAUCUUGCCUUCUCAAUCUUUGAAUAAGAGGGACGAAAGAGAAGCGGGUACAAGAAAGAGGGUUUUCAGCGUGAGCAAUUUCAAAGGGGUUAUUUUUCCCUAUUUGUACGGAGUUAUGGUCGUCCCAAGGCGAUCAUCAAGUUAGGUAGCAUCUUGGGGUUUUUGCAGAAAAUUUGUUGGUUUUUGUUUUUACGUUUGUUGAAGUUCCCUUUUUGGUUGUUGUUCUUAUAAUAAUGCACUGUCCCAAUUGUUUGAUCAUUUUGGAGAGUUUGUUUAUUUAUUUUUAAUUCAGUAAAGUUGCGUUCUAUAGAAACAGAUUGUUGAUUACAUUGGGAGAAGGGAUUGUGUGGCUUUUAAUAUCUAUGUUUUUCCUAAAGUUGGGUUUCUACGUGCAAGAUUGUUAAGGUUGAGUAUUAAUUUAAAACGACCCCUAAGAAUUGAGUAUUAGAGAGAACUUUACAGAGAUGUCCUACAUAAGAAUGUCCAGGAAUAGUCAAAGAGAAUUCAUCAAUUUAUUAGUUUAUCUUAUCUUCUUUUCUUUAAGUGUAUUAUUAGAUGAGCGAUGACGUAAUUAUCAUUAGUAGGCUUGAAAGGGCUAAAUUAAAUUUUUGAAUAAUAAAAUAACAACUCACCUAGGUUAUAGCCCCAAUUAGUCCCUUCUUGGGACCGUCCUUGCCUAAAUGUGGAGGAGGAUUAGUCCAAUCCCAAGUUCGGCUCUUCAUUAGUGGUCCAUUGUAAGUCUUUUUCUUUCGUAUGAAAAAAGCAAACAAAUUACAGUUUGACGUGUGUGUAGAACAUUUCAAUCUUAAGUUAAGCUCUUCAUUAGUCUCCCCUGGUCCAUUGUAAACCUUUUUCCUUCGUACGAAAAAAAACAAACAAAUUACAGUUUGAUGUGUAUGUAGAAUAUCUCAAUCUUAAGUUAAGCUGUUCAUUAGUCUCCCAUACUCCAUUGUAAGAAAAAAAAAACAAAUAGUUCUGUCUUCUGAUGACCAAACCCCGUUUAAAUUGUCCUUCAAGUUUAAAGCACAAUUUAACCACGUUCUGCUAUUUUUUUCUUUUCUUCCCGUCUGUUCUCUGCCUAUGCUGCUUAUUUACGAACGGAACACAAAGGCAGGCAAGUGUGUGAACAAUUUUUUUUCUGCCAAGUGUCAAUUUAUGCAUUGAUGCUGGCCCAGCCUAGUAGUAGUUCCUCCCCAACCCACACCACAUCUACUGUCAAUUAAUUUUGGGCCGAAUUCUUAAAUUCUGUCACACAAAAAAAAAGCAAGUUGUACAAGUUUACAUUUUCAAUCAUUCAACAAUAUCUGUACUGUCAAUUAAUUUUGGGCCGAAUUCUCAAAUUCUGUCAUAAUAUUUGCAUCAUUUUAAUUGUCAAUGUUUAAAAAAAAAUCAUGCCAAAAUGAAACGGUAAAAUAUUUUUCUGUUGUUUCUAUUGUAAGUUGAAAUGGUAUAAAUAGGUUUCAAACUUUCGUUGCACUUAUCGAUUUAAUUUCUAUACAUCAAUUAAUCAUUUUCCAUGGCUUCUUUCCAACUUGAUGACCAGGUUCUGAUACAGGAGACUUUGUUUGUGAGGAUAUUGACCCUAAACAGGCCUCGCCAGCUGAACGCCCUUUCCCUUGAAAUGCUCUCUCGGCUGUCACAACUUUUCUUGGCCUAUGAGGACGAUGCCAAUGCCAAGUUGAUCAUUCUCAAGGGUAAAGGAAGAGCAUUUUGUGCUGGCGGUGAUGUAGCCACCGUUCAUAUCGUCGUUUUCUUGAAGGAAAUCUGAAAUUUGGUGAAAAACUUGGUGAGAAGCUGCUCACCUUAACCUACUUGGUAGCAACAUGCAGCAAACCCCAGGCAAGUCUGAAAUUAAUUUCCAUAAUGUCUUCAAAAUCUAGGUUUAAUAUUUUUUUUGGGAUACUUUUGCUGAUAUUUGUAUCAUCUCAACUGGUGAAUUAGUGUACUGUAUGGCAUACGUCACAUCUGCCCAAUCGAGAUUUCGUAUAAUUAGUUUUAUCGUACUUUCUUUUGUUAGGCUCGAAGUUUUCGUACAAUUUCUUUCACUACCAUCUUUUGUUAUUUAUAUUUAUAUUUUUUUGAAACAGGUUUCAAUUCUGAAUGGGAUUGUCAUGGGAGGUGGGGUUGGUAUUUCAGUAAAUGGCAAAUUCCGUGUAGCAACAGAGAAUUCGAACUUUGCAAUGCCAGAAAAUUCUCUGGGAUUGUUUCCUGACGUGGGCUCCUCUUAUUUCUUGUCAAGACUUCCCGGAUUUUUUGGAGAGUAUUUGGGUCUCACAGGUGCAAGGUUGGAUGGUGCUGAAAUGCUUGCUUGUGGUCUGGCAACUCACCUUGUCCCCUCAGCCAAAUUGUCCCUUUUGGAAAAAGCUCUAAUUUCCAGAGCAGCUUCAGCUACUUCAUCAAGCUGUGGUCUUGCUUUUAUUUCAGCAAUUAUAGACGAAUACUCCUUGCAGCAACCAGCUCUGAACGAGAAAAGUGCUUUACACAAAAUGGAUGUCAUUGACAAGUGCUUUUCCAGACCAACAGUUGAAGAUAUCUUAAGUGCCCUUGAGAAGGAGAUUACUACAACAGAUGCAAACAAGGCAGGUGAUGAAUGGCUAGCUUCAACAGUUCGAUCGCUGAACAAGGCGUCGCCGAUGAGCUUGAAGAUUUGUUUGCGAUCCAUUAGAGAAGGAAGGGUGCAGGCAAUUGCCGAAUGCCUUAUCCGCGAGUACAGAAUAGAUUGUCCUGUUAUGAGAGGGCAAAUAAGCAAGGACUUCAGAGAAGGUUGCAGAGCUAUCUUGUGGGACAAGGACAAGAAACCAAAGUGGAAGCCUUCUAGUUUGGAGCUCAUCACUGAGCAUAUGGUUGACCACUACUUCUCUAGGUUGGAUGGUGAUGAAGAAUUAAAG
RNAcentral lists this long non-coding RNA (7976 nucleotides) under Prunus persica (peach). Its description in RNAcentral is "long non-coding RNA (PPER_LNC002777)". The record is from RNAcentral. Lineage: Eukaryota; Viridiplantae; Streptophyta; Magnoliopsida; Rosales; Rosaceae.